Sander lucioperca (pikeperch) is the source of this 2163-nucleotide long non-coding RNA. The record is from Ensembl. Lineage: Eukaryota; Metazoa; Chordata; Actinopteri; Perciformes; Percidae.
CCAGGAGGACAUUGAUCAAGCUCCAGAGGAGACCAGGAGUGAGUAUGAUCCAUAACUUGCAACACAGAUAAACAGAAGUAUAUCUAGUCCAUCUCCAGCAUAGAUGAUCUGUUUAGAGACAGAAGCAUGUUACAUUAUGUAUCUUUAUUCCAGAGCUGUAUAAAGAGUACCGCAGUUUGAAACAAGCCAAAGAAAACAGCAGCAGUGAUGCAGCCAGCGGACAUGCUGAACAGCCCAGAUCUACAGCUGAGGUCAUAACAGUCCAGAAGGUACUAAAGAAAGUGUGUUUGUGACUGUGUUUUCUUUGUAGAAAAAAACCCAUAGACAAGUAAAGCUAUUUGUUGCCUAUGCAUGUGUCUAUCUGCUUUGAUUGAUCUAUGUAGGACGGGGACUGUUGGGGGUGCCCAUCUAAACCGCAGUUCACAGCCGGCAUCUUCUCCCAGACUGACAUCAGAGGAAAAAGACAGUCUUAAGGCCUCUGCCCAAUACUAUGGACUAAAGCUUAAAAACAACCUGGUGACACUCAGUAAGGAAAGACCUGUCUCACUGAGGAAAUCAGUCCUUCCCGGUCGAUUGCCUCUAAACUCCUUGAAAGAUCGACAAACUGGACAGACAAACAGCCCUGUUGCUGCCACUGUCAAAACCACUUUCACUGACCCUGAAUCCAGCCCUUUUACACCAAGAAAAUUUAAGACUUGCCUGGGAUCCCUGGCUUCAAAGACACCUCAGAAAGUGGAGCCUGAAGAGCCGUUUGAACCAUUUGAACCUGUCAGAGAGUCUUGUGAAGAGCCUGCAAGUGCUGCCAGUAGUUGUAGUAGUACUAGUAAAGUUAUUAGUUCAGAAAAUCAAAAUGUCUCAAGUGUAGCUCCCUCUCCAGCCAGAUCUUCUGCAUCAUUAUCUUCUCCAUGUAGUGUAGUAGGAACUUCAAGAGGAGGUGUAGGAGCCACAGGAAAGUUAAAUGAAAGUAUAGGAGCUUCAGGAGACAGAAAACAACAUGUUGAAAUUUUAGUAACUCCACAUAAGGGUAUUAGUGAUGCAGAUGUUGGAACUUUGAUUAGCUUGAGAGGAAGCCCUCGGGUUCUUGGAGGUUUCAGAGGAGGAAUGGGAAGUAGAGGCAUUGGAGUAAGGGCUUCCCCUGCCAGCAGACUGAGUUUUGUCGACAAGAACUGGCUAGAGAGGUGUCAGGUGUUUGGAGAGAUGGGGGCUGAGGUGAAGCCUGGAGCAGGCAACCAGGAGAUAAAUCUGGAGAAAGAGGGAGAAAGAGGAAGAGAAACGGAAGGGAAAAUACAAAGAGAUGAAAAAGAAGAAAUAGAUGCAGAGGGAGAAAGCAGAGAGGCAAUAGACUUGGGAAGAGAUACAGGGCUUAAGAGCAUUACAAGUGACAAAACAGUCAGUGAUAGUGCACCGAAACCUUCUCUACAACACACUGGAAAAAGCAGCGGAGGAGGGAAAGAAAAAGCGAAAAGGAAGGAAGGUGAGGAGAUGGAAAGAGGACUGUCGCCACCUUUAACGCCAGAAGACGACACAGAGACCAGUCACAAAUCCAAAGGUACAAAGAAGAAAGGGAGGAAAAGGCAGAGGGAGGAAGAGAACGUGCAGGGAGAGACAGAGGAGGGAGGAGUGAAGAAGAGACGUAGGAAUGGCAAAAAGAAAGAGGAGAGCUCUGAUGUAAACCCCAGCCCAGCUCAAGUAGGAGGGAAGAAAAGGAGAACCAAGAAAAAGGGAGAUGCAGACGCAGAAGAAGAGAAAGAAACCAAGGAACCCAAAAAGGUAAGUCAGUUAAUUUGUCUUCAUCACCACAUACUGUGCAUACUGUUCAAAUUAGUGAAACAUAGUAUUAUUUCUGUCAAGGUCCCUCAGGAGAACUUGUUUGGUGAAAUAGAGGAGGAAUUGGCAGCCAAGAGAAUGUAUCACAGUCAGCCUGUCAGAGCCAGGUAAGACGACACAUGUCCUACUGUGUUGAAACAUUUCUAUUUGUAUUCUGUGUACAAACACGUCUUUAUUUGUACAGAGGCAUGAAAGCCACAGAGGGUAACUUUGUGAAGAUAAAUCUGAAGAAGAAGUCUCAUGUCAAAGGAUACGCACUCAGAGGUGCUGGUCUACGCAAACAGGUAUGCUUUGUGUAAGUGGCACUGAUGUGUCUGGGACUGAUCGCUAGUGUUU